GUAAUGCUGUGGGGUGGAGCGCUGAUGUUCACAUAAUAGGGUACAGAGAGUACUUUUCAUUUGACAUCACCAUUCAUCAUGUUUACUGUUAUACUGAUGUGCCUGUGGCUUUCACUAAGUGACUCCAUGGCAAAUCAAAUAAAGCCAUUUUUCACUCAUAAAGUUGUAGAUGAAGGUGCUGAUGUUACCCUGUCCUGCAGCUACAAAGACAUCAGUGGCACUGUAAAGAAUCUGUUCUGGUACAGACAAUAUCCAAAAUCUAAUCCUGAGUUUGUUCUUUACAUCUUUCCAAGUGGAGAUAAAAGUAACCCUCGUCCACCACUUCUGGAUGCUAAAGUUGAUGAUAAUAAAAAAGAAGUGGAUCUGAUCAUCUCCUCUGCUGCUGUAUCAGACUCUGCUCUAUACUUCUGUGCUCUGGAGCCCACAGUGAGAGGAAAUCCAACUGCACUGUACAAAAACUAACACACAGUUUUGUUAUACUGUAGUAUUUAAAGUAUACUAACUGUCUGCCGAUGACAUCUGCUGUCUGCUCAUUUCCAAGGGGAAGCCCAGAUACCAUACUUCCUCC
Tachysurus fulvidraco (yellow catfish) is the source of this 568-nucleotide non-coding RNA. NCBI's taxonomy places the organism in Eukaryota, Metazoa, Chordata, Actinopteri, Siluriformes, Bagridae. The record is from the annotation of a RefSeq genome assembly.